Molecule: long non-coding RNA, 1809 nt
Organism: Centrocercus urophasianus (Greater sage-grouse)
Lineage: Eukaryota; Metazoa; Chordata; Aves; Galliformes; Phasianidae
Exons: 4
Source: RefSeq, a predicted model, not a curated record
UCCGGUUGAGGAGGCGGUGGCGGUGCUGUGAAGGCCCAGGCCGGGCGGCUUCCUCUGCGUAAAGGCGCUGCCGAGCUGCUAACGGUGCGGUGAACGGAAGGGUCGCGCGAAGCCCGGCUCUGUGCGGCCGAGGGCCCGCGUUGCCAAUAAGAAGUGCGUUCUUUCGUAUCUUUGGCCAGGCGGGCUGCUGAAACGAGGUGUCGGAAAUGUCCUGGCGCGGUUCGAUGGCUGUGUUGGGUCCGGCCUGGCCCUGCCGUGCUGGAGGCCGGCAGCACGCAGAGAAGAGCAGCAUGAGGCCCUUGGCGGGGCUCCCUGUGUGCUCAGGAGGCGGUGAGAAGGCCGUGAGAGUGGUUUGGUGUUUGUCAUCAAAAGGUGAGAGUUGCUGCCAGCCUGUUACCGUAAUAUUUUCAUUUGUAGGGUAUUUAUCUUACCCGUGUCGUUUGGAGGAGCUGCAGUGGGUGCAGCUCAGUGUGAAUUCUGUGGGACUGAGUGAGCUGGCAGAGAUGGAGCUGGAUCCAGUGUAAGGCAUGAACAAAGGUGAUCCCUAGGUUGAAGUUUCACCAAGGAGGUCUCGGUCUGGAAUGUGGUUUAAUGGCACAGGUGAAGAUCUUGGAAAAGUAGAGCAUCUAUAAGUGUGUGAUAACCAUUGAGUCCUGGCCUGAAGCACCGAUUGAGCAGCUGGGGAAAGGACUGGUCAGCCCUGGAGCACAGAUGUCACUGAUUGGAAAUGCUGUGUGCUGACAAACCUAUGGAAUCCUGUCUUGUCAGAGUCCCUAUGGAGCUGGGCAGCAGUGCUGGGCUGAGCUCAGCUCACCAUGGUGGGAAGUGGUCGUGGGGAGCCGUGGUCAGUGUCCUGCUGGAAGAUGAAGAUACCCUGUUCUUGUCUGUACCUUCUGGUUUUCUACGUUUGAGUACAGAGAAGUCGAUGCUCAGCCAUUUGGGUAACCUAAAGCACGAAGAUCAUGAUGCUGGUAUUUACGAGGCCUGCACACCAGGACUGUGAGUGCAAUUGGAGCCAAAGGAGCCUUGCUGUUCUGCUGGGGCUUUAUGAAAACUUCAGGAGCAUUUGAAAAGUUCUACUCUAUCCAGUGGGAGGAAAAAAGGAAAUGUAGUUUUUAUGCUUCACAGAAUCGUUAGGUUUUAAUUUAGCACAAGUAUCCCAGACCAACACAGAGUAUUUCUUUCUUAGAGUCAAAAUAAGAAGCAUCUAUGGUAGAAAGAGAGUACUGUGCAAAACUUGCUCCAGUGGGUAUGAGAGCUUUUCAGUCUGACAGUUUAAGUAGCGAAGAUGAAAGUGAGGACAGUUCUUGGGCAGGGGACUCGAAGAGGAAUGUGAUUCAUGGGGCACAGGGGCUGGUGUAAUUAGCAGUGCAGCUGCUGCAGUGCCCUGUGCCAGUGCUAAAAAAGCCUGUCGUGGCCCGUGCUCUGCUGCUCGAGUGGCAGUGAUAACGAUGGCCGCAGCAGUGCCAGCUCCAGGCUGCUGUAUGGGAGUGGAGAGGUUUCUGCUAGGUUUCAAACUGGCAUAGAACCAUCAUAGGGUUUCCUGAGGUGUUCAGGCUGAGGAAAAACUCUGGAAUUGGAAGUGGCAGAGUUUUGUUUUGUGUUCUCUGUAAAAAAAAAAAUAGUAAAAGAGUAGUGAUACAGAGGGAUUGAAUUAAUCUGGUGAUGAGUAAAACCUGUCAAAUUCAGGCAAGGAAAAACCAAAGACUUGAACACCUUCAGUUUUAACAUUUUCAGCAUGUGAGGUUUUAUUUCUGUAAUAAAUGCAUAUGUUUCAGUGAGUGUCCUAUUAAAUGAGGUUUAAAACUU